AGCAGUUAUGUUUGGCCUUUUUUAAUAAAGCCUAUAUACUCUUAUUGCGAGCUCUUGCAAGUGGAUUUUUGCGUUUAAAAAUAACAAAUCAUUAAAUGUAGAAUGGAGGGCAUACUAAAUAAGUACACACACAGAUUUAGCGACCAAAAAAGAUAUCUUUCCUCUUGCCAGGGCCCAAUUUGAAGAGCGGCUAGGGAUAAUAUACAAGUAUUGUUAUUCUUCUUCUGAAACUGUUUUGCUAUCAUUAAUGUAAGUCUAUUACAGGCCAGUCAUGUAUUUAUA
Long non-coding RNA from Stomoxys calcitrans (stable fly), 282 nucleotides. RefSeq lists it as uncharacterized. The record is from RefSeq and is a predicted model, not a curated record. Lineage: Eukaryota; Metazoa; Arthropoda; Insecta; Diptera; Muscidae. The transcript is spliced from 2 exons.